Molecule: small nuclear RNA, 160 nt
Filed under: Oryza punctata
Lineage: Eukaryota; Viridiplantae; Streptophyta; Magnoliopsida; Poales; Poaceae
Description: snRNA U1
Rfam family: U1 spliceosomal RNA
About the family: U1 is a small nuclear RNA (snRNA) component of the spliceosome (involved in pre-mRNA splicing). Its 5' end forms complementary base pairs with the 5' splice junction, thus defining the 5' donor site of an intron.
Source: Rfam by way of RNAcentral
AUACUUACCUGGAUGGGGUCUAUGAGCGAUCAAGAAGGCUCAUGGCCUAGGCUGGUGAUCUCCAUUGCACAAAGGAGGGACGCUAGCUUACCAUCUCCCCAAAGUGGGAGUGGACAUCAUAAUUUGUGGAAGUGGGGGUACGCGUUCGCGCGGCCCCUAU